Molecule: long non-coding RNA, 1107 nt
Organism: Sus scrofa (pig)
Lineage: Eukaryota; Metazoa; Chordata; Mammalia; Artiodactyla; Suidae
Source: RefSeq, a predicted model, not a curated record
GCUGGGGGGCGGGUCCCCAGGGCGGGACCUACGUCACGCACUCGCUGUCCACCAAUGCUAGGACUUUGGGAGAAUGUUCCCAGGUCGAUGCCUGUGGUGACUUCAGCUAAACUACCAGCUGUUUCCAGAGUGACUACUACAUGCCAAGAACACUGAGUUCUGGAGUCUGGGAAGUCCAGGAUCAAGGUGUCAACCCAUCUGGAAUUGACACUAGUGAUUCUGCUUCUCUGGAGAGCCCUGGCUGACACGGCUCCAGUCCCAGCUGCCAAGUGACAGAUCUCAGGUUUCAACCCAAGCCUGUGUGAUGAGAGGGUCCAUUUCCUCCAUCCCUUGUGUGGUGAAGGUGACUUCCUGCCCACAGGUGAAGUUUGAUUCCGUCUGAGCUCAACUGGUGGCUCUUCGGCUCCAUGUGAUGCUGGCUGAAGCUGCGGUCAAUCCAGAGGCUCAACAGUGUUGGGAUAUCCGAGAUGGAGGCCUCGUAUGGCCAGUGCUUGAUGCUGGUGGUUGGCUGGACUAAGCUGGAGCCGUCAAACCCAGAGCCUAUCUUUGGCCCCCGUGUGGCGUGGGCUUCUCACAGCAUAGCUGUGAGAAACCAUAUAUUUUGCUCUUCAUCCCUGGCUCCUGGCCGGAGUUCCUAAACCCCUUGUGAUUUCCUAAGAGAUAAGAGUGAAAGGAGUAUUUUUGUUGUAAUAUGUGGGUUUUGUCUCCAGCUCCUGAAACAUCUUUUGUUAUUCAUAAUAAGCCCCUUUCAAUCUCAUCAGAGUUUAUGUUAGUGAGAUGACGCUUUUGGACGGCUCCUAGGGAUGGGGCUGGUUGCUGGGGAGACCUGAUUAGAGGGUUGGACCAGUCAGCCCCCCAGGAAGGGAGAGGGGCUGGAAGUUGGCCAAUGAUUUAAUCAAUCAGCCAAUGUAAUGGAGCCUCCACAAACACCACAAACGCAGGGGUUUGGAGGAUAGCGAAUGUCUGGAGGUGCCGGGAGGGAACCACACCCAGAGAGGCCAUGGGAGUUCUGCCCCCUUCCUUAGACCUUGUAUCUCCUCAUCUGGCUGUUCACCUGUCUCCUUUGCGAUAUUCCUCAUAAUAAACUGGUAAAUAUAAAUCAAUGUU